Long non-coding RNA from Populus trichocarpa (black cottonwood), 1013 nucleotides. RefSeq lists it as uncharacterized. The record is from RefSeq and is a predicted model, not a curated record. The transcript has 2 exons. NCBI's taxonomy places the organism in Eukaryota, Viridiplantae, Streptophyta, Magnoliopsida, Malpighiales, Salicaceae.
GAUUUUAAUCUUCUUUUUCUUAAUUUCAAAUCAAAACACAUUUAUUAUGGUAGCAAAUAGCCACCACCACACGCCGGAGACAUCGGCGCUAAAGGAGCCCUGCCUUGGGCCUGCACGAGGGGACACUCUUCUUGGGUUUUGCUUUUCUUUCUUUCUUUUAAGUCUCUUGUCUUUAAUUUAAGGGGUCACUCUUGGCCCUUCUCCUGGGAUUUUGGGAAGUGUAAAAGACUCUUUUAAUAAAAGAGGCUUAAAGCCUCAUGAUUUGGGGCGAUAAGUUCGCGUGCCACUACCCAAACACAGAUUCCCCCACGCCUUGAACCAUUCCCACACCUUCUCUUCUCAUAUUCUUGCUUCCUCACCAGAUCCCAGGUAACACACGAAGAGGUGGAUAAUUAAAGGCUUGUUUGGUUUGGUGCCUACUGAAAACGUUCCGAAACCUGUCGGCCGGAAUCAUAACCGGACAUUGAUUUUUCAACGGUUGACGUCCAAUAGCGGUCGGUGUUUUUGGAGUGCCUUUCAAGACACUCAACAAGGACUGACUUUUUUGCAAUGGAAUAGCUCUCUUGAUGCACAAUUCGAGCAACAAAUGAGAUAAAUAGUGGAUUCCAAGGUCAAAUUGAUGGUUCUUGAAACUCUUGAUUAAAGGGAUUGGACAAAGAGACACCCAUGUUCUGUAAGUACUUGAGAUUUUUCUACAAGCUUUAAUGGGCCAUGUUGCCCUUUUUGUUAAGCAUGCUUCUUAAUUGAACUUAAUAAUCUUUAUUCUGAGAGAAUAUUUGGAGGACUUUAAUAAGCUUCCUCCUUUCUAAACUUUUCCGCUUUAUUUCAACUUUUAUAUAUAUAUAUAUAUAUAAUGAUUGAUUUUGUGCUAAUUUUUUUUUUCUAGAGUACAUGUCUUUUUCCUUUAUGGUAUAUGGCUAGAGUAUAUAUUUUGUAAGUUCCUUAACUCUUAAUUAUGAGUAUGUGUACGGAUAUACUAGUUGAACAUCAAAAGAGCUUUCUUUCAAUAGCUA